UGGGGAAUAUUGGACAAUGGGCGGAAGCCUGAUCCAGCCAUGCCGCGUGUGUGAAGAAGGCCUUUUGGUUGUAAAGCACUUUAAGCGAGGAGGAGGCUACUUGGAUUAAUACUCUAGGAUAGUGGACGUUACUCGCAGAAUAAGCACCGGCUAACUCUGUGCCAGCAGCCGCGGUAAUACAGAGGGUGCGAGCGUUAAUCGGAUUUACUGGGCGUAAAGCGUGCGUAGGCGGCUUCUUAAGUCGGAUGUGAAAUCCCUGAGCUUAACUUAGGAAUUGCAUUCGAUACUGGGAAGCUAGAGGAUGGGAGAGGAUGGUAGAAUUCCAGGUGUAGCAGUGAAAUGCGUAGAGAUCUGGAGGAAUACCGAUGGCGAAGGCAGCCAUCUGGCCUAAUACUGACGCUGAGGUACGAAAGCAUGGGGAGCAAACAGG
This 430-nucleotide ribosomal RNA is filed under the name bacterium. RNAcentral describes it as "partial 16S ribosomal RNA". It matches the Rfam family "Bacterial small subunit ribosomal RNA", at positions 355 to 776 of the family's 1533-position model. The record is from RNAcentral.